This is a long non-coding RNA of Lycium ferocissimum, 3046 nucleotides long. RefSeq lists it as uncharacterized. NCBI's taxonomy places the organism in Eukaryota, Viridiplantae, Streptophyta, Magnoliopsida, Solanales, Solanaceae. The record is from RefSeq and is a predicted model, not a curated record. The transcript is spliced from 2 exons.
UCUAUUUGCAGCGACUGAAAAAUCCGUCGUUAAUUCUUUUUAUAAAAAAAAAAAUUAAGGUAUUAUUUAGUGAUGGAAUAUAAAUCCCAUUGUUAAUUCCGUCAGUAGGUGUAAACUAAGCGAUAAAUCCUAGGGCACACAUCUAUACUUCGUUUCAUAGCCAACACCACAACACUGAGAGAGAAAGAGCUUCUACUACUGCAUCAAGGGAGAAAUCGUGAGAGAGAUCAAAAUAAUAUGAAUCUAGGGCUUCACUUGCUUUUUUCUCUGCUUCUGUUGCAUCUUUGCUCUUCUUCUACUGCAUCUCUUACUCUUCUUCACUGCUGGAUCAUCUUUUAUCUCAAGGACAUGUUAAGUGUUGGGAAUCUCUAUUUGGGCCGUAAAUCUGCUGACAAUGAAAAUACAAUCUUUGCUUGUGCCAAACCUUGUUGUAUAAUACUAUUGGAGCUUGAAGUUUGUUUAAUCUGUUGCAUGUCGAGAGAAAAAACUUGAAGAACUCAACAUUCUUCAUUCUGUGAUUAGACAAUUCGAUUUCAAUGUUUGAAGUCGGUGUUAGUGAACUGGGGUUUCUUACUCGAUUAUUCAAAACUCAUCCAUAUCAACAUUCUUAAUGCUAUUCAUAGUCCAAAUAUUGGUAUGAUAGUGGUAUUGAUUGACUAUUUUAGGAUUUUGCUAUAGUUUCUUCUCUUGUUCUUUGUUCAUUUACCUUUAAGCUUAAUAGUCUAAAGUUGUGAAUGUUUUCUAAGACCUUUUGCUUGAUUUGUAAGAAUUUAUGCUUUUUAUCUUUGGUAGCUGCUUAAUAUUAUCAAUAGGUGUUUGAUAGCCGAUUAGUAAUUUCUGCAUAUUGUUAGUUUCGAUUCUAGGACAGUUUAAGCACUCAACUUACUUGGUGUUGAUACACUUUUCAGGUGAAUGCUAGGUAAAAAUACAAUUAAUGCUUAAAACGUAAAAACAAUAUCAGAUUGAUAUGUUGAUGUGGUGAGAUUAUAAAGAAUUCAUCCCUUCUUAAGUAAAAGCUUCAAGUUUGAAGCCUGAGAAUAAAUAACUUUUUCAGGAGCGAGCAAUUUACCCUUUAAAAGAUCUCUAAGAACAAUUUUGAAAAAUUGGAUCAGUAAAUUUUGAGUACGCAUAAAGAGAAAUAAAUAAAUGAGAUUGGUACAUAUGGUUUUCUUGUUCGAGCUAAUUAGUUUGAAAAGAAACUUAGGUAGUCACUUUUUCUUUUUUAUGAAGAGAAACUUAGGUAGUCACUGUAAGUUAUACUUAUUUGCAUAGUCUUGGAUAAGGUGACAAUCUAGUAAUUUUCAGUGACUAACCUAGUUAUCCAUUUGAAGAUAAAAAAGGUUUCCUGAUGGAGAAAUGCCUACAGUCAAAAGUGAUUAGUAGCAAUACUUAUUGUAAAAGGAAACAAAAUGUUUGGUAGCAGCUAUCUUUUUGGCUAAGAAUGGUGUAGUGACUGAUGAUCAAUGAAAACUACAGAAGAUAAUGAUAGAAAUAGCUGUAAUCCUCUUGACUAAGAAUGGUAUAAGUGGUGGUAGUUUUCAGUUAGAAGAUUUGAGUUAGCAACACUUGUUUUAAGACGGAACCUCAAUUAUACACUACCAAUGCACUUAUCGUAGCAUUAUUAAACUUGAGGAACAAAAGCGCUUGUAUGUUGUACUUUGUCCAGAUAAUACUUGAGCUCACUUAUUGUAGCAUUAGUAAACUUGUUUACAAUGAUGUGAAGUAAUAUCUAUUUCUUCUCACAAUGGAUAUUAGUUAUUAAUAAAUAUGAGGCAAAAAGAAAUAAAUUUAUUAAAAGCUACAAUUGAUGAGUUGUUUGUUGGACUAUACUUGUUACAUUCUGGGAUUUAUUGAGCCUACUGUUUUGAACUUCUUGUUUUGGAAACUUAAGGCUGGAAUUUAAGGUGAUUAAGGCGAAACGUUUAUUAUGAAGAACAGUGAUCAAUAUGUUUUGUUUUCAGUUUCUCAUUUCUUUUAACGAAAAAGGUGAAUGAUAUGUUCUAUUUCCUUAUGAGAAACGAAAUAUAUGUUUUGUUUCAUUAAGGUAUUUCAACUUGUUCUUCCAUUUAGAGGUCAUCCUGGUUUUAUUAAUUAUAUAAAGAGGGAACUUUGGUUGCUUUGUUUAUUUCAUUAUUAAUAAGAACAUGAAUAAUCUAGACCGUGUUUGGAUGUAUGAGAAGUUGGAUGGCCGAGGGGGUAUAAACACUAGCUUCGUAACUGGUGUGAAUAAUUUGAUCCAGUUUGCACGUUCUCGAAAUCACAUGAGUGGUGACAAGGUUAGAUAUCCAUGUAAAAAAUGUCACAACAUUAAAUACAUGAAUGUUGAAACCGUUAAAUAUAACCUUAUUCAUUCUGGAUUUGUUGAGAACUAUUUUGUUUGGAAGUAUCAAAGGGAAAAUGUGUGAUUGGUGAGAUAACUUCUGGUAACGAUUUGCAUGGUGGUGCUCAACUUGAGUCGGCAUCCGAUAAUCCAUACUGACAAAUGGUUUUGGAUGCGGCUGGUCCCAACUUUGGUCAGGGUUCGAGUUGGCAAUCUCAUAGCAAUAUUAGAGAUGAUUCAUCUCAUCCUUAUGAACCUUCAAGGGAGGAGGAGACUAAUCCUUCAAUGGAGGAGGAACCUAAUCCCGAGUCCAAAGAUUUUAUGAUUUACUACAAGCUGCUAAUGCAGAAUUGUAUCCCAAUUUUUCCCUCUCUCAACUCACAGUAGUCUCCAGGAUGUUAAAUAUUAAAAUAGAUAAUACUUUGUCAUAGAGAGGUUCUAAGAAAAUGAUGGAAUUGUUGAAAGAGGUUUUACUUGAAGAUAACAAAGUGCUUUAUAACUAUUAUCAGACCAAGAAGUUAGCGCGUAGUUUGAGUUUUCCGGUUGAGAAGAUUGAUGUUGUGAUUCGGGAUGUAUGUUAUAUUGGGGUGAUGAUGAACGCUAAUCUUGUAAAUUUUGUGGCUACCAGAGGUAUAAGCGUGGUGUCGGCUCGCGUAAGAGGAAAUUGGUCCCUUACAAGACAAUGUAUUAUUUUCCUUUGAUUUCUAGAUUGCAGAGAUUAUAUGC